Molecule: long non-coding RNA, 3660 nt
Filed under: Sus scrofa (pig)
Lineage: Eukaryota; Metazoa; Chordata; Mammalia; Artiodactyla; Suidae
Description: lncRNA (ENSSSCG00015045708.1)
Source: RNAcentral
CGCUCCUGCAGCAUAGGGAGGUGCCCAGGCUAGGGGUCGAAUUGGAGCUGUAGCCACCAGUCUACACCAGAGCCACAGCAACACGGGAUCCGAGCCGCGUCUGCAACCUACACCACAGCUCACGGCUACGCUGGAUCCUUAACCCACUGAGCAAGGCCAGGGAUAGAACCCACAACCUCAUGGUUCCUAGGCGGAUUCGUUAACCAUUGAGCCACGACGGGAACUCCGAGGGUCCAUUUCUUGAGUAUCUAACUGAAAUGCAGAGAUAAGUGAUGCAUGGAUAAGACAGUAACCAACUAAACCUUUUGCUACGUAAGCUGAUCUGCAGUCACAUACAUGUCCUAUAUUAAACAACUGAGUUGAUGAACCUAAGGGCAAAAAUUAUCCAUGCUAAGUGCCCCGGUGUUUGUUACUGAGCUGUUGAAACUAUGUGUUCCCUGUGACAGGUCCCCAACAUGACUGGCUUCGCCAUAACCCCAUCAUUCAGGCAUUUUCUGUAUCAGGAAUUGAAGUGAGUAUUUUACACACUGGAUAAAGGAAAUAUUAUGCCCACUUUACAGACGAGAAAGCUCAAGUUUAGAGGAGUUAGUAAGCUUAGGCAACGUGAUUAGACAGCUGGUGGCAAAACCUCACCAGCUCACCUCCUUGUCAGACAGACGAUACUGAUGCCCAAGAGUAUUUCAGGGAUUCAAUGCAAAAUCAGCCCGCUUAGAAGCCUCUGGAGGGUCACUAUCUCUGAAAUUCAAAAUAACAGUAUUCCUUUGCGGUUCUAACACACACCAAGCAAAGGCUGUAUCUCACUGGGCUUUUAAAAGGAUAGAACCAUUACGCUGGCCUUGUCCAAAAAUACAAAAGUGGCCUCAGCUUAAAUUUGGGACAUGAGCAAAAUGUCCAAAACUUAUGGUAAAAGCGUCUUUGAGUAUUUGUCAGCACUAACAGUUACUUUCUCUUAACUGUGCUUAAGAGAAAACUAUUGCUACUGAAGAGUCCUGUCUACUUUCUGAAACUGAAACCUUUAAACGACUUAGUCACAGCAUUUUCAGACCCUAUGCUGGAAUGAAUUGUGUCCUAAACAAAGUGGAAAGCGAAAUUCAGUGGAGGCAGAUAGGUAAUAAGCCUAAAAUGUUGCAGUAUUUAUUGAGUUCUAGGUAGAUACCUGAUUAUCUACGUUUCGAGACAAUGUGUUAGUCCUUCCAAGAAAUACAGAGAGCAUUUCUGCCUGCCCUGCUCCUCUGCCCUCUCCUCCCCCAUCACUGAGCCUCGGCAUGUGAAGGGGUUAACCUUUCACUUUGGCUUGGUUAUCAGCAUCACUCAGACCCCUCUCCAAAUCUGAACUUCAGAGGUGGAAUCAUCUUCUACUGCCAGCCAAGAGUGUUCGGAUUUACCGUAAUUAUUAAUUAACGUCUACUUGGAAAGGACUUGAAUAAGAAAGAAAAAAUUUCCAAGGCCUAAGUUUGGUAUUUAAAUUUUAUCAUCAUUUAGAAGCAUUCUUCUUCCAUUCAAAUUUAUUUCAGUUGAAAACUGUCAACAGCUGUGUUUGUACCUCGGUUUUAUGAUCUGUUUAUUUCUAAACCUAGAGGAAACUCCCAAUUGGAAAUGGAGUCCACACAGCUAAUCUCUGGCUUGAGUUGCUAGAUGAAUUUAAUAACAAAAAGGACUGCUAAUCUUGCCAGUUCUGUUAAGUAAUCUUGUUUCCCGUUAAGACUAUUAAGUGACAAAAAAAAAGCCUCAACUCCCUCGGAAUAGAAAAAUAUGAGUAUUACUAUUUCGUUAGAAAUGAAUUUUUACUUUUAGGAAAAACAUUAUAUUAGUUAUAUCUGCAGAUCAAAAUAUUUAACAAUCUCCAAUUUUAUGAGUAGGAAAAUGGGAUAGCAUGAGGAAAUCCAAUGUACAGAAGCCUAGUUCAAUACACCUGUACCUGCAACAAAAGGGAAAACUAGAAAAACUAAACAGCAAGGAAUCCUUAGCCUGGUACUCUUAGGUGGUUAACUAUGGCUCAGAACGAGCUGAUAUCCAAGAUAAACACUUCUUUAACUGCAGGGAAAAAAACCAAAAAGGAUUCACAACAAAUCAAAAUAUUUUUUCUGAUAAAGUCAUGGGCCCAAAUAUAAUACUUUGUUAUCUGAGAAAACAAAAACUGGCCACAAGCAACUUCCAAAGGACUAUAGGAAUAAAGGUAUAUUCAAUUCACUCUUCACUAUUUUGUGAAAACUUGGUAAUGCCAGAGUAACAUAUAACUCCUAUUCCCUUGCAGGCUUCAUCCCCGAGACUUAGGGACAAGAAAACACACUUGAAACUUCUCCUCACCCCUAACCGAAGUACCAAGCCCUGCAGCCAGGGACAGAUAAAGGACUUUCUGAAGAUAGAAAAAAACAAAAACAAAAAAACCUCACAGCCACAGAUGUUUAUCAAACUACACCAAAAUAGAUACAUUAGCAUUAUUAGUUACAUUCCUAAAGGUUACUGCAAAUUAGAGAUAAGAAAAAAAGGAGACUGUGUGAUUCAAACAUUUUAAGAGACGUGGAAAACUUCAGACUAAACUGACAUCUGGUAAAAGGAAUAAGAGAAACUCUGAGCCAGGAGGUCAGAUUUUUACUCAGACUUUUACUAAAACUCCAUGCGCCACAAACUAUGUACCUGGUUCCCACGGAACUCAGUGAUUAUCUACUAUUUCCUGCGUGUAGGCUCUGUGGUUCUGUGGUAGAUAUUCUCCUCCAGCUGUCAUCUCCUUUGCCCUUUUCUUCUAGAUACUGGGAGCUGACAGUUUUUGUUGGGUUUGUUUUUGAUUUUCUUUGGCCUCGCCUGUGGCAUGUGGAGUUCUCAGGCCAAAGGCUGGAACCUGCACCACACAACGACCCAAGCCGCAGAGGUGACAAUGCCAGAUCCUGAACCCGCCGCACCACAAGGGAACUCUGAGAGCAGCAAGUUUUCAGGAAACAGUUGUGACCAGUUAUCACAGCUCUCAGAAAAGUUUUCCAGUGGUUGAACUUUACCAAAAAAACCUUAACAGGUUUCUCAUUUUCCAGUGGCUUCUAGAGCAAAGGUUUAAUCAUCAAUUAAAAUGUGGCCUACGUGUUCCCCACAUGGAAAAGCAGCCCAGUAAGUGUUAACUUUCUUUCCGACAAUUUAUUGUACUCCUAUUGGCAGAACUGAACAGAAACUUUCACUUCUACAGCAUAUGUAGGCAUUAAGGUUUUAAUUUUCAAGUCCAACAUCACUCCUAUUCCAGAAUCACCAGAGAAAAGCAGCAGCAUUUUAUUCGUUCAGACUAGAGCUUCAUUUCAGAUAUUAACUCACAAUUCUGAAUCUAUAGAAAAGAGGGCAGAUAGGAAGGAGCAGCAGAAGUAAAACUGAGGUUGUUUGGGGUCCCAAUAAAAAAAGUUGUUCUGUAGCUGUUUAAGAACUUCACUCUGCAAAUUACUUCCUUGGGCCAGAGAAAAACUUCUCCCUAAAUUACUGGAACUUUACCAAAAUAUCAAUCACAGCAGCCCUGGGGACUAAUUUGGUAAGAUGAGACUGCAUGCAUAGUAGCCUGAACAGACACAAUAUAUCAUGGUUCAAGCAAGUCUUGCCAAAUUUUAGUGGUACAGAGAAAAGCUGCUUUUAUUUUGCUAUAUUCUUAAGUUAAAUGCAUUCCCUUAAAACUCUCCAAAAUCAUUA